This 425-nucleotide ribosomal RNA is filed under the name uncultured bacterium. RNAcentral's name for it is "bacterial SSU rRNA". It matches the Rfam family "Bacterial small subunit ribosomal RNA", at positions 359 to 776 of the family's 1533-position model. The record is from RNAcentral.
GAAUCUUUCUCAAUGGGCGCAAGCCUGAAGGAGCGACGCCGCGUGGGGGAUGAAGGGCUUCGGCCUGUAAACCCCUGUCAUUCGCGAACAAGGUCGGCUAUUUAAAAGAUGGCCGGAUUGAUGGUAGCGAAAGAGGAAGGGACGGCUAACUCGGUGCCAGCCGCCGCGGUAAUACAGAGGUCCCAAGCGUUGUUCGGAUUCACUGGGCGUAAAGGGUGCGUAGGUGGUGGGGAAAGUUCGAUGUGAAAGCUCCGAGCUUAACUCGGAAAUGGCAUUGAAAACUACCUUGCUAGAGGAUUGGAGGGGGGACUGGAAUUCUCGGUGUAGCAGUGAAAUGCGUAGAUAUCGAGAGGAACACCAGUGGCGAAGGCGAGUCCCUGGACAAUUCCUGACACUGAGGCACGAAAGCUAGGGGAGCAAACAGG